GAUGAACGCUGGCGGCGUGCCUAAUACAUGCAAGUCGAGCGAACAGACGAGGAGCUUGCUCCUCUGACGUUAGCGGCGGACGGGUGAGUAACACGUGGAUAACCUACCUAUAAGACUGGGAUAACUUCGGGAAACCGGAGCUAAUACCGGAUAAUAUAUUGAACCGCAUGGUUCAAUAGUGAAAGACGGUUUUGCUGUCACUUAUAGAUGGAUCCGCGCCGCAUUAGCUAGUUGGUAAGGUAACGGCUUACCAAGGCGACGAUGCGUAGCCGACCUGAGAGGGUGAUCGGCCACGCUGGAACUGAGACACGGUCCAGACUCCUACGGGAGGCAGCAGUAGGGAAUCUUCCGCAAAGGGCGAAAGCCUGACGGUGCAACGCCGCGUGAGUGAUGAAGGUCUUCGGAUCGUAAAACUCUGUUAUUAGGGAAGAACAAAUGUGUAAGUAACUAUGCACGUCUUGACGGUACCUAAUCAGAAAGCCACGGCUAACUACGUG
Molecule: ribosomal RNA, 497 nt
Filed under: uncultured bacterium
Lineage: Bacteria
Description: partial 16S ribosomal RNA
Rfam family: Bacterial small subunit ribosomal RNA
Source: RNAcentral